GACGAACGCUGGCGGCGUGCUUAACACAUGCAAGUCGAGCGGUAAGGCCCUUUCGGGGGUACGACGAGCGGCGAACGGGUGAGUAACACGUGGGUGACCUGCCCUCAGCUCUGGGAUAAGCCUGGGAAACCGGGUCUAAUACUGGAUAUGACUCCAUGACGCAUGUUGUGGGGUGGAAAGCCUUGUGCGGCUGAGGAUGGGCCCGCGGCCUAUCAGCUUGUUGGUGGGGUGAGGCCUACCAAGGCGACGACGGGUAGCCGGCCUGAGAGGGCGACCGGCCACACUGGGACUGAGACACGGCCCAGACUCCUACGGGAGGCAGCAGUGGGGAAUCUUGCGCAAUGGGCGAAAGCCUGACGCAGCGACGCCGCGUGAGGGAUGACGGCCUUCGG
RNAcentral lists this ribosomal RNA (392 nucleotides) under uncultured bacterium. Its description in RNAcentral is "bacterial SSU rRNA". It matches the Rfam family "Bacterial small subunit ribosomal RNA", at positions 28 to 421 of the family's 1533-position model. The record is from RNAcentral.